This 1331-nucleotide ribosomal RNA is filed under the name Candidatus Phytoplasma sacchari. RNAcentral describes it as "bacterial SSU rRNA". It matches the Rfam family "Bacterial small subunit ribosomal RNA", at positions 160 to 1486 of the family's 1533-position model. The record is from RNAcentral. Lineage: Bacteria; Bacillati; Mycoplasmatota; Mollicutes; Acholeplasmatales; Acholeplasmataceae.
UUGCUAAGACUGGAUAGGAAAUAAAAAGGCAUCUUUUUAUUUUUAAAAGACCUUUUUCGGAAGGUAUGCUUAAAGAGGGGCUUGCGGCACAUUAGUUAGUUGGUAGGGUAAAGGCCUACCAAGACUAUGAUGUGUAGCUGGACUGAGAGGUUGAACAGCCACAUUGGGACUGAGACACGGCCCAAACUCCUACGGGAGGCAGCAGUAGGGAAUUUUCGGCAAUGGAGGAAACUCUGACCGAGCAACGCCGCGUGAACGAUGAAGUAUUUCGGUAUGUAAAGUUCUUUUAUUGAAGAAGAAAAAAUAGUGGAAAAACUAUCUUGACGCUAUUCAAUGAAUAAGCCCCGGCAAACUAUGUGCCAGCAGCCGCGGUAAUACAUAGGGGGCAAGCGUUAUCCGGAAUUAUUGGGCGUAAAGGGUGCGUAGGCGGUUUAAUAAGUCUAUAGUUUAUUUUCAGUGCUUAACACUGUCCUGCUAUAUAAACUGUUAAACUGGAGUGAGAUAGAGGCAAGUGGAAUUCCAUGUGUAGCGGUAAAAUGCGUAAAUAUAUGGAGGAACACCAGAGGCGUAGGCGGCUUGCUGGGUCUUUACUGACGCUGAGGCACGAAAGCGUGGGGAGCAAACAGGAUUAGAUACCCUGGUAGUCCACGCCGUAAACGAUGAGUACUAAGUGUCGGGGUUACUCGGUACUGAAGUUAACACAUUAAGUAAUCCGCCUGAGUAGUAGGUACGCAAGUAUGAAACUUAAAGGAAUUGACGGGACUCCGCACAAGCGGUGGAUCAUGUUGUUUAAUUUGAAGAUACACGAAAAACCUUACCAGGUCUUGACAUACUCUGCAAAGCUAUAGCAAUAUAGUGGAGGUUAUCAGGGAUACAGGUGGUGCAUGGUUGUCGUCAGCUCGUGUCGUGAGAUGUUAGGUUAAGUCCUAAAACGAGCGCAACCCUUGUCAUUAGUUGCCAGCAUGUCAUGAUGGGCACUUUAGUGAGACUGCCAAUGAAAAAUUGGAGGAAGGUGAGGAUCACGUCAAAUCAUCAUGCCCCUUAUGAUCUGGGCUACAAACGUGAUACAAUGGCUGUUACAAAGAGUAGCUGAAACGCAAGUUAAUAGCCAAUCUCAUAAAAACAGUCUCAGUUCGGAUUGAAGUCUGCAACUCGACUUCAUGAAGUUGGAAUCGCUAGUAAUCGCGAAUCAGCAUGUCGCGGUGAAUACGUUCUCGGGGUUUGUACACACCGCCCGUCAAACCACGAAAGUUGGUAAUACUCAAAAACGGUAGCCUAACUUCUUCGGAAGAGGGAAUCGUCUAAGGUAGGAUCGAUGAUUGGGGCUAAGU